This is a long non-coding RNA of Gopherus evgoodei (Goodes thornscrub tortoise), 2840 nucleotides long. RefSeq lists it as uncharacterized. NCBI's taxonomy places the organism in Eukaryota, Metazoa, Chordata, Testudines, Testudinidae. The transcript has 5 exons. The record is from RefSeq and is a predicted model, not a curated record.
CGGGGCCGAGCUGCGAAGGAGAGUUGGUCGCUCCGGCUCUGCCUGGCUCGCGCGGGGCCGUUGGCGCCUCUCCCGGGGCCGGAGAAGGGUGUGUGACUGAGAUCAGGGCUCCUAUCGUACUGAUCGUGGCUCUGUUGUGACACCUGCUGAAGAGACCCCAACUGAGACCUGGGCCCUGUUCUGCCAGGCACUGAAGAGACCCCAGGUGAGAUCAGACCCCACUGUUGUGCCAGGCUACAGAAUAACGUCCACGUUUUGCUCCAGAUCCUCCCAUCCUCCCAGGGGGAAGGCAAUGGCUGCAGUGGAGCUGGCUCAGUAGGGUUUCCAGUUUCCAAACCUGAUGUGAUCUCCCAGGUGGAAAGAGGGGAAGAGCUGUGGGUCCCAGACCUCCAGGGCUCUUAGAAAGAAGUGCUUCCAAGAGCUGCCUGCACAGGGAGUGAUCUAUGUCUGGAUUCUCUCUGUCUCCCAUCAGGAGAUGAGAUGGUGAGUCAGAAUGAGGAGGAGAAACCCCAUCAGGAAGAUGCUGAGCAAGGAGAACCACAUGGAACUUUAUCAGGAAGAUCCAAAGGGAAUGUUUCCGGGAGUUGUGCACUCUCAGAAAAAACAAAAGCCUGUUUGACUCUGCACAGGCCAGAGGGAAACUUUAGUAGCCUCUCCGACCUUGUAACAAGCAACAGAAUCAACUUGGAAGAGAGACGCUACACGUGCCCUGAGUGCGGGAAAAGCUUUAGUUGGCACUCACACCUUAUCAGACAUCGGAGAAGCCACACAGGGGAGAAGCCCUACACAUGCUCUGAGUGCGGGAAAAGGUUCAGUCAUUGCUCAAGCCUCAUUAGACAUCAGGAAAUCCACAUGAGAGAGAAUUGUAAUAAAUCCCUUGACUAGGGUUGGCCAAAAAAGUAAAAAAAAAAAAUCACAUUUACUAAUUCCCACAAAGUGAUUUUUGCAUCAUCUUCACCGUGGUCUCUCAGCUCCACCAGAUAAGUUGCCGCCUUCUGCCUUUUGCAGCUCAUCCUUCUUUGGGGUCAGUCCUGUGAUCUUUUCUAUCAUCUCCUUUCCUUUUGAGUCAUAGGAGUGUGUGUCCCUCCUGCCAGGAAUGUUCAUCAGCUCCGGGUGCGGGGGAGAGAGGUUUGAUCCCAACAAGCUACACUGAGGCAAAAACUACCUGUGCCUUCCAUCCACUAGGACUGUACAUGGCGUUAACUGCUCAGGUUAGUGAUCUUAAUGUAAAAAGUUGUAGUGCAGAUGCAGCCCAGGUGCAGUGGUUGGCAUUAGCUUCCCCCUUGGCCUGACCUAAACUCCAUCACUUUUCCUAGUCUAAACUAACCCUGAGCAUCACGGUUAUCCUGUUCCCCCAUUUCAAAGCAAUUGUUAGUCAUCGAGUUCUCCCUUGGGGAACAAAUUGUUUCAUUCCCAGUUGCUCUGACGUUGCUUCAGGUUGGGCUGGAUAGCAGAUAUUUUUAUUAUUUUCUGCACUUAAAAUAUAUUGAACUAUAACAAAGAGCUGGAACAGGGCAGGGAUAGGGAAAAAUGUCAUUUCACCCAUUGUAACAACAGACGUAGUAAGGGUAAGUCAGAGGGAUUCCCUUAUUCCCCAUCACUCUCCUCCUUCAAUCCAUGCUAGAACCUAAGAAUCCUUUUCCUUUCCCCAGUUGUGGGAUGGGAGACUUCCAAAAGUGCUCCCUGUGCUAUAGCACAUGGCUAAGCUCAGAGAAUAAACCCCAAAUCUCCCCUGAGCUUUGCUUUUUGAAUUCUGUAUUUCCGAUUACUUCAAGCCUGGGCAUUGUGAUUAUUUACCAGUUUCUCUAGCACUGUUCCUACCACUGUUUCUGUAACAUUUUUUGUUUUUUAUGGGACAGGGUUGUUAUUUCUUUGCCUAACCCCAACCUGGAAGGCCAGGGUGUCUGUUUUCUCUGGCCCCUCCCCAUAGACAAUUCUGACAUGGUUGAACCUGCCAGGAGCAAACAAAAAGCCCCACCGGUCACACACACAAAGCAGACAGACACACACAAGACACAGAAGAAACUGAAUUAUUUGAGCUAUCAGCAUUUCCACUUUCCCACAGCGUGUUAGUUCUGAAGGUUGUUUUAAUUUGUUUCUUUUCUUGGAACCAGAACUGGGGAAAGAGAACACUGGAGUCAGUGGAAUUACAGCAGGAAGGGAUAAGUCUCAUGAUUCAUCACUAACCAAAGGCUUUGUAAACAGAGCGAUAAUGUUACUGAGUGGUCUGGCUAACCCUGCAGUUAGAAACAAUCAGCUCUAUGGAUGGUAAAUUUACAGAGGCUCUGCUUCUGAUCAUGAAAUAGCAGCUGUUGAAAGGUAAUGUGCUUCUAUUUCAAUGCCUCUGGAAGUACAGAAAACAAUGAUCUGUGUUAAUGGAAAGUUGCCAUUUCUCAGAGCCCCAAUUUCUAUUGUGUGUGUACAGGAAGAUUUGAAAGUAUAGCAGGUAGUUUAGUAAAACUUAGCUAUUUUAUGUGUGUAACAGGCUCCUGCCCACCUCCAGCAGAGGUUUCAGUCACAUACUAUGGCAACUUACCGAAUGUCACGCAAAUUAGUCUGUUCCUCCCCAUAGUCAGUCUCUGACGGGAAUGUUAGAAUGAGGCAGAGAACUGGGAAAGUAUCACACAGUAGGAAUACAUUAAAAAGUGGGAUUAAUCAGAGCUGGGGUGCAGACAGAGCCUGUUCUACAGCUGGUGAAGUGACAGGGACACACUCCCCCUAGUGCUGGCUCUGAAAUAACAGCAGAAGCAGAUCGAAGAGAAUGAGCUCAUAUGGGAGCUAUGGGCAGCUGCCCUGUCAGUGCAUCACUCACCUGGCAGGUGUUACACAAAACACAGCAC